AUCUAAAGACAAAAGGUGCCACAACAAGGAUAUAGAGUUAUCAUUCUACAUCUUGUAUGGGGUUGCUUUUUGUUCUUUUCUUUAAUUCAUUAUUGUUAUCUUCUAAAUGAAAGCCUUUUGGAUUAAACUUUGUUCCUCAAUCAAGCAGGAAUAGAAUCUUGAAGUUGUUGUGGUGUUGAUUUGAGUUUCUACCACGCUUCCGGUCAUUAAAGUUUGCAGGGUUUUCUUUGGUCAUUAAAUUCUCAUAGUUAAUGUUAUCAGUGAUUAAUGCUUCUGAUUGCUGCAAUUUUUAUCGGCAAAUGUUUUCUUUUUCGGUUACAGUCUGAGAUUACUUGUGUAUUUAUCAAAUAAGUUGAACACAGUGUUAUUUGGACUAAUUCAUUAAGCUUUUACUGUAGGUAUAAUGUUGGAUUUAGAGAAUAACAUGAAUUCAGAGAAUGACAUUGUGGAUGAUGAAGAGAUCAUCGACAACUUUGUUUCUCUUCAUAAGGAAUUGCUACUUGCUGAAGGAAAAUUGUUCAGAUUCUGGGCACCCCUGUAUUCCCUUGAUGAUCUAUGUUUUAAUUUUUAAAGUAUCUUUUGUGAAGAUGAUGAAUGGAGAUUUGAAAACUGA
RNAcentral lists this long non-coding RNA (613 nucleotides) under Citrus sinensis (sweet orange). Its description in RNAcentral is "long non-coding RNA (CSIN_LNC000442)". The record is from RNAcentral. Lineage: Eukaryota; Viridiplantae; Streptophyta; Magnoliopsida; Sapindales; Rutaceae.